UCCCCAUACAAAGAGAAGGACAGAGCUCUCUGCUAAUGCAAUAUGGAGUACCUUAUGUCCAAGCUAUUAUAUAUCUUCAGAAGCUCCUUCCUCUGAAACUUGCUGCAGCUGGUUCUGAAGAUAAAUAUUCAGAUAUGGAAAUGUUGUUGUUGUCACAACCACCAAUCAAAGAUUGACUUUCGUUCUGCAACGUAAAGCCGGACAUGCCUCAACAAUUGAAAGCGAGGCUUCGAGAAAAAGAGGAAGAGGAUUGGCAUAAGAUUCAACACGUACCCUCCACUAACAUACACGAGUUAGAUGUGGAUAUGGUGUUCUUGUGACUAGCAAUUUCAUGAUCUCUCCAAAGCAAAGCGGUAUUUGAUGCCUAGAAGUGGACAACAAGGACAUGGAUCCUACAUAGUGGGCCAAGUUUAUCAUCUAAAUAGCAACACUUAUUUUGCCCAUGUCUUCAGCAUCAUAAGUUUUGAUUAUAUGUUUGAAACGAAGGUAAAUGAGAAGACUUUUUGUUCAAGUUUUGAUUUUCAAAACAUUGUUAUUAUGUGAUUGUAGAAAGGGAAUUAAUAACUGUGACUUUGUUUGAGGAGAAAUCCACUGAAAGUUUGUUCUGUUUUAUGGUUCCUAUUUUGGCUUCCUCAUUUUUGAAUAGCAUAAGAUAUUUGGAUGAUGUUUUCAGUUCUUCAGUACAAUGAAGAGUUCCCGUAAUGUUUGACUUGUAUUAAUGUAUUUAUCUCUGGAUGUAAGAUGCUUAUUCAAAGUGGGAGCAACUAUUUAUAGUGUAGGCUUGGGGGUCCAUAAUGCUUACAUGGAUGCAUGAUCAAAGCUGCUCAUCAGGUGCAAGCCACUAUAUGGCUUUCCUUGUGCAGAAUUUAGGGAACUCUUCAAGGAGCCAGUACGUUUGGAUUUGCUUGCAGUCAAUCCAUUCUUUGAAACGCCAUAUCAGACAUUGACCGUCAGAUUAGAAGCUUCAUUCUGUAAAGUUUUUGGCGCAUCUGCCAUCUAUGGCAAUUAUCAAAUUAAAGUUUUUAUCCCACAACUGCUAGCCCUACUUUCUAAGUUGUAAGUUUAUCGCGACGCUUCAACCCAAUGCACUAGGAACUUCUGUUUUCUCAAUGAUUAGUUUUAGGGGUUGGUCCGGCGUUUGGAUAAGAAAUUUCACUGUCAGUUACAAUACAACGUAAGGUUACUUUCAGAUGGAACUUGUUUGCAACUUAAAAGGUUACAGGCAUCCAAACACCCAAUUGAAAUAACUAUAUGCUUCGACUACUUUUAUCGAUUCAAGCAAACAAAUUCUAGCAUUUGACUUUCAGGUUUUACUUACAAAUUUGAUUUAGGAAAUAUGGUGAUGACCACUAGACGGAUGUGGAGAAUGGUGGAAUGGUGAUUCGACAGUGAUGAGAUGUUUGGAUGAUAUUUUCUAGCUGAGGAUAUCUGUAUCUUUUGCAACCAAUUGUUCAAUAUGGUACAAUGUGCUAAUA
Molecule: long non-coding RNA, 1475 nt
Organism: Magnolia sinica
Lineage: Eukaryota; Viridiplantae; Streptophyta; Magnoliopsida; Magnoliales; Magnoliaceae
Exons: 5
Source: RefSeq, a predicted model, not a curated record